This 669-nucleotide long non-coding RNA is filed under the name Prunus persica (peach). RNAcentral's name for it is "long non-coding RNA (PPER_LNC000462)". Lineage: Eukaryota; Viridiplantae; Streptophyta; Magnoliopsida; Rosales; Rosaceae. The record is from RNAcentral.
UUUGUUUUGUAGUUAUCCUUUGGAUGUGAUUUUUUAUGUACGGAAUGUUUUGAAUAAAAAGGUAUUUUAUUGAAUGCUUUCUUUAGUCACUCAAAGAAAACCAUUACAAGUAAUUAAGAAUUACUACUAAUUAAAUAAAACACAUAACUAAUUUUUAAAACAAAACAUUAAAAUACAAUGAACUUUAAAAAAAACAAAAAAAACAAACUUACUUAAUGGUUUUGAUCAUUUAACCAAUCCGUGUUGCUAGGUCCAUCAUCACGGAAAAGUCUUCUUCUCAUAACAUCUCAUCGUUCUAGCUUUCAAAAUUGUUUUGUUUCAGGGGACAUAUGGGUUGUAUCCAUGGCCAUGGUUUCCCGAUCCUUCUUCUCAAUGUUUUCUUUGAGUACAUAUUCCCUUUCUUUUGCAUAUUCUACUUGAAUUGCCCUCUCGUCUUCUUUGGUUUUCAUGUCUAUUUCAAUUCUCAUGGCGCUUUGCCUUGCAAUUUCCUCCAAAAAUUUAGAUGUAUUACUAGUAGAAUUAUUCCCUCUCUUUGCCUUUGCCACCUUUCUCCCAAUAGGCCUCGGCUCCUUUUGGAUGGAAUAUAUAAACAAAUCCGAUGCCGGUGAAUCAUGGAAUGGCAUCUCGUUCAACACCACGGUUGGACCCGUUGAAAUAAUUCGAAAUCUC